This 1373-nucleotide long non-coding RNA is filed under the name Brassica napus (rape). RNAcentral's name for it is "long non-coding RNA (BNAP_LNC021175)". The record is from RNAcentral. Lineage: Eukaryota; Viridiplantae; Streptophyta; Magnoliopsida; Brassicales; Brassicaceae.
AAGUUGAUGGCAUGCUUGUUAUUGCUUGAGAACUGUAGUAGCAUGCUAAUGGUUAGGUUGAUUGGUUAGUUAGCGAAUGCGGAAUUCUUAGAUGAUAUCACUAAGUUGUGGAUAGUUAGGUAUUCUGGAAUUAGUCUUUAUGCUAGAUUCUGGAAUACGAAGGAUUGUGUUAAUUUGCGAUUAAUACUAGGAACCUUGUGUUAUUUUUACCGGGUUUAAUAUUAAUCAUAUAUUGGCCAUAUAGCAUUUGUGUAACCCACAAUGCUAGGCAUGUUUGAGGUGAAAUGUGUUGAUUGUGUGGAGAUUAAUACUAGGAACCUUGUGUUAUUUUUACCGGAUUUAGUAUUAAUCAUAUAUUGGCCGAUAGCAUUUGUGUAACCCGCAAUGCUAGGCAUAUUAGAGUGAGUUAGUGUUCCUUCAGACCUCGUACCCAUCGGGUUCAAGGAAACCCCUUAUUCGCUGGAUCGGGAAGACUCAGAUAGACGGGGUCAUGGCCUAUGGCUGAGUGAUUACACGACGGUGUAAUGUGGCAGUGACCCGAAGGACUGUGGGCUGUCGCGCUGUGAUCCGAAGGACUGUGGGCUGUCGCGCUGUGAUCCGAAGGACUGUGGGCCACGGUCGGUUGAAAGUUCUUUCUUCUGGCCUUUGUGGUAGGAAUAUAGGAUAUUGCCGAUAGUGAAAGAGGAACAUAACGUCCCAGGGCCCGAGUUUGUUAUAUAUAUUAUAUCGUGUUUUGGGUUGUUAAACCCUGGUUUAAGUCGAGUUUGAGUUUGGUGAUGAGCUAGUAUUUAGCAUAAUGCUAGUUAUCUUGCUAUCGUUUACCGCUGCAUAACUUCUGAUAUUGUUUAUGUUAUUGAAUUGUGCUAUUAGGUGAACCUCUCGCUUUAGAUUUUUUGGGGUGGGAUAGCGAGGGGUUGUAUUUGUUAGUUGGGGAUGUAACUCGCUGAGUAACAUUAGGUCACUCAUCCAACUCUGUUGUCCUUUUUGCAGGUUGCUUUAGGUAAAGAUGAUCGGAUAGCUUGGUGCUGGACGUUAGGACCGCCGGAGUAGAUUUCAUGCCUUUUGUAAACGGUGUUGCGUUAUGUGUUUUGUUGACUCGAUUUGGCAUUAGGCCGGGCCCAGUCUUGAAUUAUUCAUUGUAUGAAUGUUUCCUAAAUCAAUAAAAGUAAUUGUUUUAUAUGCGCUUCAUGAGUACUCUGAUAUUUGACUAGUCCGGUCUAACACAACGUUAGGUCGUGGUACGGGUUGAAAAGCCUUAGGCCUCGAUCUAACAGGCAAUGCUAGGCAUAUUAGAGUGAGUUAGUGUUCCUUCAGACCUCGUACCCAUCGGGUUCAAGGAAACCCCUUAUUCGCUGGAUCGGGAAGACUCAGAU